Molecule: ribosomal RNA, 460 nt
Filed under: uncultured bacterium
Lineage: Bacteria
Description: partial 16S ribosomal RNA
Rfam family: Bacterial small subunit ribosomal RNA
Source: RNAcentral
CCUACGGGUGGCAGCAGUGAGGAAUAUUGGUCAAUGGGCGCGAGCCUGAACCAGCCAAGUAGCGUGAAGGAUGACUGCCCUACGGGUUGUAAACUUCUUUUAUAAAGGAAUAAAGUGGGGCACGUGUGCCUUGUCUUAGGUACUUUAUGAAUAAGGCUCGGCUAACUCCGUGCCAGCAGCCGCGGGAAUACGGAGGAUCCGAGCGUUAUCCGGAUUUAUUUGGGUUAAAGGGAGCGUAGAUGGGUUGUUAAGUCCGUUGUGAAAGUUUGCGGGUCAACCGUAAAAUUGCAAUUGAUACUGGCAGUCUUGAGUACAGUUGAGGUAGGCGGAAUUCGUGGUGUAGCGGUGAAAUGCUUAGAUAUCACGAAGAACUCCGAUUGCGAAGGCAGCUUACUAACCUGCCACUGACAUUGAUGCUCGAAAGUGUGGGUAUCAAACAGGAUUAGAUACCCCAGUAGUC